CCCUUAGAUGUUCUGGGCUGCACGCGCGCUACACUGACACACUCAGCGAGUCUCCUGGCCCGAGAGGGUUGGGUAAUCAUGUGAGCGUGUGUCGUGAUGGGGAUAGAAUAUUGUAAUUAUUGCUCUUCAACGAGGAAUUCCUAGUAAGCGCGAGUCAGCAGCUCGCGCUGAUUACGUCCCUGCCCUUUGUACACACCGCCCGUCGCUCCUACCGAUUGAACGUUUUAGUGAGGUAUUUGGACUGGACCUUCGGAGGUUCGCGCCUCCGUUGCUGUUCGGGAAGACUCCCAAACUUGAGCGUUUAGAGGAAGUAAAAGUCGUAACA
This 325-nucleotide ribosomal RNA is filed under the name uncultured eukaryote. RNAcentral's name for it is "partial 18S ribosomal RNA". It matches the Rfam family "Eukaryotic small subunit ribosomal RNA", at positions 1470 to 1796 of the family's 1831-position model. The record is from RNAcentral.